CCUACGGGGGGCUGCAGUGGGGAAUAUUGGACAAUGGGGGGAACCCUGAUCCAGCCAUGCCGCGUGUGUGAAGAAGGCCCUCGGGUUGUAAAGCACUUUCAGUGAGGAAGAACGCCUGGUGGUUAAUACCCAUCAGGAAAGACAUCACUCACAGAAGAAGCACCGGCUAACUCCGUGCCAGCAGCCGCGGUAAUACGGAGGGUGCGAGCGUUAAUCGGAAUUACUGGGCGUAAAGCGCGCGUAGGUGGCUUGAUAAGCCGGUUGUGAAAGCCCCGGGCUCAACCUGGGAACGGCAUCCGGAACUGUCAAGCUAGAGUGCAGGAGAGGAAGGUAGAAUUCCCGGUGUAGCGGUGAAAUGCGUAGAGAUCGGGAGGAAUACCAGUGGCGAAGGCGGCCUUCUGGACUGACACUGACACUGAGGUGCGAAAGCGUGGGUAGCAAACAGGAUUAUAUACCCGGGUAGUC
Molecule: ribosomal RNA, 465 nt
Filed under: Vreelandella stevensii
Lineage: Bacteria; Pseudomonadati; Pseudomonadota; Gammaproteobacteria; Oceanospirillales; Halomonadaceae
Description: partial 16S ribosomal RNA
Rfam family: Bacterial small subunit ribosomal RNA
Source: RNAcentral